Molecule: ribosomal RNA, 497 nt
Filed under: uncultured bacterium
Lineage: Bacteria
Description: partial 16S ribosomal RNA
Rfam family: Bacterial small subunit ribosomal RNA
Source: RNAcentral
GAUGAACGCUGGCGGUGUGCCUAAUACAUGCAAGUCGAGCGAACAGACGAGGAGCUUACUCCUCUGACGUUAGCGGCGGACGGGUGAGUAACACGUGGAUAACCUACCUAUAAGACUGGGAUAACUUCGGGAAACCGGAGCUAAUACCGGAUAACAUGUUGAACCGCAUGGUUCAACAGUGAAAGACGGUCUUGCUGUCACUUAUAGAUGGAUCCGCGUCGCAUUAGCUAGUUGGUAAGGUAACGGCUUACCAAGGCAACGAUGCGUAGCCGACCUGAGAGGGUGAUCAGCCACACUGGAACUGAGACACGGUCCAGACUCCUACGGGAGGCAGCAGUAGGGAAUCUUCCGCAAUGGGCGAAAGCCUGACGGAGCAACGCCGCGUGAGUGAAGAAGGUCUUCGGAUCGUAAAACUCUGUUAUUAGGGAAGAACAAAUGUGUAAGUAACUAUGCACGUCUUGACGGUACCUAAUCAGAAAGCCACGGCUAACUACGUG